RNAcentral lists this small nuclear RNA (19 nucleotides) under Arabidopsis thaliana (thale cress). RNAcentral's name for it is "snRNA_05532". The record is from RNAcentral. Lineage: Eukaryota; Viridiplantae; Streptophyta; Magnoliopsida; Brassicales; Brassicaceae.
UCGUUCGUCUGACUUGGGU